This 309-nucleotide long non-coding RNA is filed under the name Mytilus galloprovincialis (Mediterranean mussel). The record is from RNAcentral. Lineage: Eukaryota; Metazoa; Mollusca; Bivalvia; Mytilida; Mytilidae.
GUUGUCUUUCUUUAAUAAUCACCUAUUUAAGUAGUACAAAAUAAUCACUAGAAGAAGUGAUUUAAUUUUACUGUAGCUUUAAAUAUAGAAUACUAAUGAUCCAGGGACUAAUUAUGUUUCUAAACUUAUCAGAACCAACAUCUGUGUUGUCUAGGAUGACCAGGUCAUUUCAGGUGAUGACCUUGUACUGAAUCUAGGAUAAUGACAUAAAAAUCACUUGUUUAAGUAUCAUAUCUCAAUUUCCUUCCCAAAAAUCACUUCUUUAAGUAUCAUUAUUUUAAUAACCCGCACUAAUUUCAACAACCCAAA